AAUCAACGCGAAGGAUUGUUUCAACCAUGUGUAUUCACAAUUCCAUGUGGUCAUGGACGUGUUCAAGGAGUUCCACUAUGGAGGAUACCCCAUAGGUAGGCUUUACCAGAUAGGUAGAAGAGAUGGAAAAUCUCAACCGAGCAGGCACGGUGCUGUGAUGAAACGCAAGAAAAUGGUAUUGCUAACUGGUCGCUAUCGCAAUAGAUAUGAGGUACGCACCUCAUUGAACCAAGUAGAGGAUAGUGUGGCAGCUAUGUCAAUCGCUUGGAGUGCCAUAAGAUAGUUGUCCAAUUGAUGCUGGUAAUCAGAUAUAAGACCAGACGCGAGUACGAGUAGCCCAAAGUUGGAAUAUAUUAGAAGAUUAAUAUGCUGAAUGGUGGGUGAAAGUUGUUGGUAGCCAAUCCAGCCAUAGAUUGACGUAAGUUGGGAUGGAAAGAUAUGGGGUCGCUCCCUGUGUCUCAGCUCCAUUUCCUAUGUGACCGAAUUACCACUACGUUUUAUGAAGGUACGAUGAAGAUCGGAGACAAUCUUUCGCGUUGG
RNAcentral lists this non-coding RNA (540 nucleotides) under unclassified sequences. RNAcentral describes it as "ROOL RNA". It matches the Rfam family "ROOL RNA". Rfam says of the family: Firmicutes, Fusobacteria (1 example), Tenericutes (1 example). Environment (Cow rumen (57)) The record is from Rfam by way of RNAcentral.